Callithrix jacchus (white-tufted-ear marmoset) is the source of this 569-nucleotide long non-coding RNA. The record is from Ensembl. Lineage: Eukaryota; Metazoa; Chordata; Mammalia; Primates; Cebidae.
AAGAGACUCUUGAGAGCUCCCAACACCUCUCUCUCUCCCUCUUUGCCAUAUGAGGACAUCCCAUUGAGAAGGGUCUUCUCUAUUUUCCGAUGGUUAAAUGAUGGCAUCAUACCAAGGGAGAGAGGAGAUGGAGAUUUCUAACCACGACUCAUUUUGCCUCUGAGGCCACAGGGCUUCUUGCUAAUAAUAAAGGCUGCUAACCCAUCACAACCCUGCGGAUUUCAGUGCUGAUGAGUAAAAGGGAAAAACGACACCUGCGUCAUAGGCAGUGGCUAAUGAGACAGGAGAAUCGCAGCCAGUGAAGGAGACAGCUUCAGUGAGCAGCAGCCUGUGAGUGUGCAUUUCUAAGGAAUCCAAACAACUCUGUGGCAGCCAGGAAGUCCACUCGCAACAGCUCUAACCGUUCCCUUCAAGAAAGCCGAACACUCACGGAGCAAAACUGGACCCACGUAUGGAAAUGAGUCUGUGAUGAAUACCAGGCCUCAGUACAUGCACUCCUUGGAGCCAUGGAUUGGAUCUUGCAUUCCAGUGGGUUCACUGACACCAGCCAAUCUGAAGACUCUCUCUGA